AAUCAACGCUGGCGGCGUGCCUCAGACAUGCAAGUCGAACGCGAAAGUUUCCUUCGGGAAGCGAGUAGAGUGGCGUCCGGGUGAGUAACACGUAGGUAAUCUACCUUUGGGUGGGGAAUAACAACCGGAAACGGUUGCUAAUACCGCAUAAUGCAGCGGCACCACAUGGUGACAGUUGUUAAAGCGGGGGAUCGCAAGACCUCGCGCCUAAAGAGGAGCCUGCGGCGGAUUAGCUAGUGGUAAGGUAACGGCUUACCAAGGCAACGAUCCGUAGCCGGCCUGAGAGGCGGUCGGCCACACUGACACUGAAAUACGGGUCAGACUCCUACGGGAGGCAGCAGUCGGG
Molecule: ribosomal RNA, 346 nt
Filed under: uncultured bacterium
Lineage: Bacteria
Description: bacterial SSU rRNA
Rfam family: Bacterial small subunit ribosomal RNA
Source: RNAcentral